GAAUGUGAGGGGGAUCUGGCUGCCACAACUGUCAUCCCGUUGAUGGCCAGGGUUGAUUCAGCUGAUCUGGCUGGCUAGGACGGUGUCCCCUUCCUCCCUCACCACUCCAUGGGCGACCCUCCUGAAGCUGUGUGCAUGCUUGUGCGUGCUUAGUAGAAGAGGACAACCUUCCCCAACAGAGGAGGACCACCAUUCUGCGUUCGAGGGUAUAUGAGUAGCUGAGCUCCCCUGCUAGAACCUCCAAAACAACCUCUGAAAAUAAGAUCACAGGUCACUGUAAAGUGACAGUCAUUCAUUUAGUCAAAGUGACUACGAAGCCCUAAAAGGUUGCUAACUAG
This 338-nucleotide small nuclear RNA is filed under the name Propithecus coquereli (Coquerel's sifaka). Its description in RNAcentral is "7SK RNA (ENSPCOG00000008107.1)". It matches the Rfam family "7SK RNA". From Rfam's summary of the family: 7SK was discovered as an abundant small nuclear RNA in the mid-70s but a possible function has only recently been suggested. Two independent studies have found that 7SK RNA binds the CDK9/cyclin T complex (known as elongation factor P-TEFb). Lineage: Eukaryota; Metazoa; Chordata; Mammalia; Primates; Indriidae. The record is from Rfam by way of RNAcentral.